CCGCUUUUAGCUCAGUGGUCCAGCGUUGGCUUUGGAAGCCACAGGUCGGUGGUUCGAACCCACCAGGGCACA
Molecule: transfer RNA, 72 nt
Filed under: Phytophthora infestans (potato late blight agent)
Lineage: Eukaryota; Oomycota; Peronosporomycetes; Peronosporales; Peronosporaceae
Also listed under: 1 other name
Description: tRNA-Pro
Rfam family: tRNA
About the family: Transfer RNA (tRNA) molecules are approximately 80 nucleotides in length. Their secondary structure includes four short double-helical elements and three loops (D, anti-codon, and T loops).
Source: RNAcentral